RNAcentral lists this ribosomal RNA (109 nucleotides) under Ixodes scapularis (black-legged tick). Lineage: Eukaryota; Metazoa; Arthropoda; Arachnida; Ixodida; Ixodidae. The record is from RNAcentral.
GCCAUCGCCAUACCACGCUGAAUGCGCCGGUUCUCGUCCGAUCACCGAAGCUAAGCAACAUCGGGCUCCGUCAGUACUUGGGGGGAUGGAACACGGAGUGCUGAUUGGC